RNAcentral lists this long non-coding RNA (396 nucleotides) under Homo sapiens (human). Its description in RNAcentral is "novel transcript". The record is from RNAcentral. Lineage: Eukaryota; Metazoa; Chordata; Mammalia; Primates; Hominidae.
AAAGUCAUACUUCAAUCCUCCAGAAUAGAUUACUUCUGAUUUGAAAGGAUACAUUUCUUAGGGAAAUCAGUGCAUUGGUUACAUGAAAACCGUGUGACAACCUUGGAAGUCUGAAAGAGCAGGAGAGAGGCUAAGCACACACAUAUUGUGAUUUUAAGAGUCUCAAGGUGAGAAGAAACAUCAGAAGCAGUUGAGAGACCAGGACGUGGGUCCUCAAAGGAUGAACAGAAGUUCUUUUGGAUAACAUUUUAAAAUGUUUCCUCCAGAGUUAUCUGCCUCAUUAACAAUGGUUUGAGUCUCAAGAGUCUCUCUUCGAUUUUACAAACAUGAUUUGUUGCUCUGCUAUAAAUGCAUGCUGCUCUAGUCCUUCAAUAAACCCACAACAUGUUUUCACCA